Molecule: ribosomal RNA, 301 nt
Filed under: uncultured bacterium
Lineage: Bacteria
Description: partial 16S ribosomal RNA
Rfam family: Bacterial small subunit ribosomal RNA
Source: RNAcentral
CAGCCGCCGCGGGAACACGAAGGGUGCAAGCGUUACUCGGAAUUACUGGGCGUAAAGCGUGCGUAGGUGGUGGUUUAAGUCCGUUGUGAAAGCCCUGGGCUCAACCUGGGAAUUGCAGUGGAUACUGGGUCACUAGAGUGUGGUAGAGGAUAGUGGAAUUUCCGGUGUAGCAGUGAAAUGCGUAGAGAUCGGAAGGAACAUCUGUGGCGAAGGCGACUAUCUGGGCCAACACUGACACUGAGGCACGAAAGCGUGGGGAGCAAACAGGAUUAGAUACCCCGGUAGUCCCUGUCUCUUAUAA